UCGGGGGCAGGGUGAAAUUCCCGACCGGCGGUUAUAGUCCGCGAGCCUGAAAGGGUUGAAUCGGCGCAAUUCCGAUACCGACAGUAUAGUCUGGAUGGAAGAAGAUG
Molecule: non-coding RNA, 107 nt
Filed under: bovine gut metagenome
Description: FMN riboswitch (RFN element)
Rfam family: FMN riboswitch aptamer (RFN element)
About the family: The RFN element is a highly conserved domain that is found frequently in the 5'-untranslated regions of prokaryotic mRNAs that encode for flavin mononucleotide (FMN) biosynthesis and transport proteins. This element is a metabolite-dependent riboswitch that directly binds FMN in the absence of proteins.
Source: RNAcentral